RNAcentral lists this ribosomal RNA (897 nucleotides) under Triticum aestivum (bread wheat). RNAcentral describes it as "partial small subunit ribosomal RNA". The record is from RNAcentral. Lineage: Eukaryota; Viridiplantae; Streptophyta; Magnoliopsida; Poales; Poaceae.
AUGAAAAAUUUAUCUUGGGCUCUUGCAGCUGUUAAGAAUUUUUAUAGAUGGGUCCCGGGGGAUGGGAACAGCAUUGCCUUCUGGCAUGACAUUUGGACAGGAGAUUGUUCUUUAAAAACUGCUUUUUGGGAUCUUUACAGUAUUUGCCAGCAGCAGGACUCUACCCUGGCUCAGGUCUGGGUGGAUGGUGAGCUGCGGUUAACAUUUAGGAGGUGUGUCACUGAAAAUACACUAGCAAGAUGGGAGGAACUCACCGAGAUUGUUAAGACUGUUUGGCUGUCUGACUCUCCGGAUCAACCUCUCUGGAUGUUAGAUUCUUCUAACAAAUACUCUGUCAAAUCCUUCUAUAAGUUUAUUAACUUUGGAGGGAUUCCUUCUGUCAUUAAAGAUGAUAUAUGGAAAAUCAAAGUGCCGCCGAAUAUACAUGUUUUUCUCUAGCUGGUUUAUUACAACAAGAGUUUAACCAGAGAUAACUUAGCUAAGCGUAGACAUGUGGAGGACAUGUCUUGUGUCUUCUGCUGCGAACCUGAAUCUAUCCAGCAUCUGUUUUUUGACUGCAUUAUUGCUAAGUCUGUUUGGAGUUUAAUUGCUGAUAUCUUUGUGAUUGAUGUUCCUAACUCUUUUGAUCAAUUAUCUUCCUUCUGGAAGAGAAGGAAGCAUUAUGAAGUCUUGAAUAUGGUUUCUGCUGCUGCCUUGUGGAGCUUAUGGCGUCUUCGGAAUGAUUUUGUUUUCCAGGGGCGAAGAUGGCAAAGUAUGCGGUGUGUCUUGGACCUGUUGGGGGCGACGAUCAAGAAAUGGAAAAUAUUAUGCUCAGAAGCUCAGGGUGCGCUACUUCUCCGGUGCUUAAGGCUUUUGGACCACCGAAGAGGGGAGUUGCUUAGAAUCGCCUGGAUGUGA